UACGUAGGGGGCAAGCGUUGUCCGGAUUUAUUGGGCGUAAAGAGCGUGUAGGCGGCCAGAUAGGUCCGUUGUGAAAACUGGAGGCUUAACCUCCAGCGGUCGAUGGAAACCAUUUGGCUAGAGUCCGGAAGAGGAGAGUGGAAUUCCUGGUGUAGCGGUGAAAUGCGCAGAUAUCGUAAGGAAGGCCAGUGGCGAAGGCGGAUCUCUGGACAGUUCCUGACGCUGAGGCACGAAGGCCAGGGGAGCAAACGGG
Molecule: ribosomal RNA, 253 nt
Filed under: uncultured bacterium
Lineage: Bacteria
Description: partial 16S ribosomal RNA
Rfam family: Bacterial small subunit ribosomal RNA
Source: RNAcentral